Molecule: non-coding RNA, 352 nt
Organism: Nomia melanderi (Alkali bee)
Lineage: Eukaryota; Metazoa; Arthropoda; Insecta; Hymenoptera; Halictidae
Source: RefSeq, a predicted model, not a curated record
CUUUGAUGAGAGGGCACCACCUGUUGCUUAGGAAUGGGGUAAUGUUUACAGAAAUAUAUUAAUCACGUUACUUUUAUUUGUUGUAACUACUGGUACCAUGAGGGUUUGUUUAUAUUUGAAAAAUCAACCGAUUAACAAGAAAUUUAUAUGUUUCCCCUGUGUACUUCCAUACGACUCAAAACUCUGUUGUAUAACAAUGUAUCAACGUCUUUACCCCACACGAAAUCCAAAUGGCUGAAAUCUUUUAAUGGUACCAUGAACUUUUGAGCAUUAGGCAGCUCCAUGUAUAAUUUUCUUAUGUCCUGCAAGAAUAUAAUAAUAAUAGAAGAGAAAUUCUAUUUGAUUUUGGAGG